This 295-nucleotide long non-coding RNA is filed under the name Elaeis guineensis (African oil palm). Its description in RNAcentral is "long non-coding RNA (EGUI_LNC054614)". The record is from RNAcentral. Lineage: Eukaryota; Viridiplantae; Streptophyta; Magnoliopsida; Arecales; Arecaceae.
GCGUGCAUACGAAGUAAAGGGUCUACACAUUCAGGCCUCCGUGAAGGUUUAAUCUAGAUAAAUUGAGAUUUGAUCUCUGAUUCUACUACUAAUCAGGUAAGGAUUUGAUCCUUAAUCAUGUAGAUAAAUAAAAAAAAUUUUAGAUGCCACCUGGGCCUUCCUAGGAGAAAUAGUUUCUUUCCCUUCAUGUACUUCAUACAAUUUUCAAUAUUUUUCUCUCUUACCUCUAGAUCACUCAUAGUCUUGUAGAUCACACAAUAAACUAUAACAUUCUAGUUAAGUUAAUUUUUCAAUC